This 394-nucleotide ribosomal RNA is filed under the name uncultured bacterium. Its description in RNAcentral is "bacterial SSU rRNA". It matches the Rfam family "Bacterial small subunit ribosomal RNA", at positions 30 to 428 of the family's 1533-position model. The record is from RNAcentral.
AUUGAACGCUGGCGGCAUGCCUUACACAUGCAAGUCGAACGGCAGCGGACCUUCGGGUGCCGGCGAGUGGCGAACGGGUGAGUAAUAUAUCGGAGCGUACCUUUCAGUGGGGGAUAACGUAGCGAAAGUUACGCUAAUACCGCAUAUUCUGUGAGCAGGAAAGCAGGGGAUCGCAAGACCUUGCGCUGAUUGAGCGGCCGAUAUCAGAUUAGCUAGUUGGUGAGGUAAAGGCUCACCAAGGCGACGAUCUGUAGCGGGUCUGAGAGGAUGAUCCGCCACACUGGAACUGAGACACGGUCCAGACUCCUACGGGAGGCAGCAGUGGGGAAUUUUGGACAAUGGGCGCAAGCCUGAUCCAGCCAUGCCGCGUGAGUGAAGAAGGCCUCGGUUGUAA